RNAcentral lists this ribosomal RNA (1187 nucleotides) under Proteus sp. G2674. RNAcentral describes it as "partial 23S ribosomal RNA". It matches the Rfam family "Bacterial large subunit ribosomal RNA", at positions 1766 to 2925 of the family's 2925-position model. Lineage: Bacteria; Pseudomonadati; Pseudomonadota; Gammaproteobacteria; Enterobacterales; Morganellaceae. The record is from RNAcentral.
GCUGAAGCCAGUCGAAGAUACCAGCUGGCUGCAACUGUUUAUUAAAAACACAGCACUGUGCAAACACGAAAGUGGACGUAUACGGUGUGACGCCUGCCCGGUGCUGGAAGGUUAAUUGAUGGGGUUAGCCGUAAGGCGAAGCUCCUGAUCGAAGCCCCAGUAAACGGCGGCCGUAACUAUAACGGUCCUAAGGUAGCGAAAUUCCUUGUCGGGUAAGUUCCGACCUGCACGAAUGGCGUAAUGAUGGCCAGGCUGUCUCCACCCGAGACUCAGUGAAAUUGAACUCGCUGUGAAGAUGCAGUGUACCCGCGGCAAGACGGAAAGACCCCGUGAACCUUUACUAUAGCUUGACACUGAACAUUGAGCCUUGAUGUGUAGGAUAGGUGGGAGGCUUUGAAGUGUGGACGCCAGUCUGCAUGGAGCCAACCUUGAAAUACCACCCUUUAACGUUUGAUGUUCUAACCUAGGCCCAUAAACUGGGUCGGGGACCGUGUCUGGUGGGUAGUUUGACUGGGGCGGUCUCCUCCUAAAGAGUAACGGAGGAGCACGAAGGUUGGCUAAGCAUGGUCGGACAUCAUGCGGUUAGUGCAAAGGCAUAAGCCAGCUUGACUGCGAGAGUGACGGCUCGAGCAGGUACGAAAGUAGGUCUUAGUGAUCCGGUGGUUCUGAAUGGAAGGGCCAUCGCUCAACGGAUAAAAGGUACUCCGGGGAUAACAGGCUGAUACCGCCCAAGAGUUCAUAUCGACGGCGGUGUUUGGCACCUCGAUGUCGGCUCAUCACAUCCUGGGGCUGAAGUAGGUCCCAAGGGUAUGGCUGUUCGCCAUUUAAAGUGGUACGCGAGCUGGGUUUAGAACGUCGUGAGACAGUUCGGUCCCUAUCUGCCGUGGGCGUUGGAAGAUUGAGAGGGGUUGCUCCUAGUACGAGAGGACCGGAGUGAACGCACCACUGGUGUUCGGGUUGUCAUGCCAAUGGCAUUGCCCGGUAGCUAAGUGCGGAAGAGAUAACCGCUGAAAGCAUCUAAGCGGGAAACUUGCCUCGAGAUGAGUCUUCCCUGUCGCUUUAAGCGACCUAAAGGAACGUUUAAGACUAAGACGUUGAUAGGCUGGGUGUGUAAGCGUAGCGAUACGUUGAGCUAACCAGUACUAAUGAACCGUGAGGCUUAACCUGACAACACCGAAAGUGUUUUG